RNAcentral lists this ribosomal RNA (463 nucleotides) under Borreliella garinii. RNAcentral's name for it is "bacterial SSU rRNA". It matches the Rfam family "Bacterial small subunit ribosomal RNA", at positions 32 to 489 of the family's 1533-position model. The record is from RNAcentral. Lineage: Bacteria; Pseudomonadati; Spirochaetota; Spirochaetia; Spirochaetales; Borreliaceae.
AACGCUGGCAGUGCGUCUUAAGCAUGCAAGUCAAACGGGAUGUAGCAAUACAUCUAGUGGCGAACGGGUGAGUAACGCGUGGAUGAUCUACCUACGAGAUGGGGAUAACUAUUAGAAAUAGUAGCUAAUACCGAAUAAAGUCAAUUAAUUUGUUAAUUGAUGAAAGGAAGCCUUUAAAGCUUCGCUUGUAGAUGAGUCUGCGUCUUAUUAGCUAGUUGGUAGGGUAAAUGCCUACCAAGGCGAUGAUAAGUAACCGGCCUGAGAGGGUGAACGGUCACACUGGAACUGAGAUACGGUCCAGACUCCUACGGGAGGCAGCAGCUAAGAAUCUUCCGCAAUGGGCGAAAGCCUGACGGAGCGACACUGCGUGAAUGAAGAAGGUCGAAAGAUUGUAAAAUUCUUUUAUAAAUGAGGAAUAAGCUUUGUAGGAAAUGACAAAGUGAUGACGUUAAUUUAUGAAUAA